CCUACGGGCGGCUGCAGUGGGGAAUAUUGCACAAUGGGCGCAAGCCUGAUGCAGCCAUGCCGCGUGUGUGAAGAAGGCCUUCGGGUUGUAAAGCACUUUCAGCGGGGAGGAAGGCGGUGAGGUUAAUAACCUCAUCGAUUGACGUUACCCGCAGAAGAAGCACCGGCUAACUCCGUGCCAGCAGCCGCGGUAAUACGGAGGGUGCAAGCGUUAAUCGGAAUUACUGGGCGUAAAGCGCACGCAGGCGGUCUGUCAAGUCGGAUGUGAAAUCCCCGGGCUCAACCUGGGAACUGCAUUCGAAACUGGCAGGCUAGAGUCUUGUAGAGGGGGGUAGAAUUCCAGGUGUAGCGGUGAAAUGCGUAGAGAUCUGGAGGAAUACCGGUGGCGAAGGCGGCCCCCUGGACAAAGACUGACGCUCAGGUGCGAAAGCGUGGAGAGCAAACAGGAUUAGAUACCCGUGUAGUC
RNAcentral lists this ribosomal RNA (465 nucleotides) under uncultured Klebsiella sp. RNAcentral's name for it is "bacterial SSU rRNA". It matches the Rfam family "Bacterial small subunit ribosomal RNA", at positions 338 to 795 of the family's 1533-position model. The record is from RNAcentral. Lineage: Bacteria; Pseudomonadati; Pseudomonadota; Gammaproteobacteria; Enterobacterales; Enterobacteriaceae.